CAGCAGCCGCGGGAAUACAGAGGAUGCAAGCGUUAUCCGGAAUGAUUGGGCGUAAAGCGUCUGUAGGUGGCUUUUCAAGUCCGCCGUCAAAUCCCAGGGCUCAACCUUGGAACUGCCUUUGAUACUGUUUGUCUUGAGUUCGAGAGAGGUAAGUGGAACUGCGAGUGUAGAGGUGAAAUUCGUAGAUAUUCGCAAGAACACCAGUGGCGAAGGCGGCUUACUGGCUCGAAACUGACGCUGAGGCGCGAAAGCGUGGGGAGCAAACAGGAUUAGAUACCCGCGUAGUCCCUGUCUCUUAUAC
RNAcentral lists this ribosomal RNA (301 nucleotides) under uncultured bacterium. RNAcentral's name for it is "partial 16S ribosomal RNA". It matches the Rfam family "Bacterial small subunit ribosomal RNA", at positions 509 to 807 of the family's 1533-position model. The record is from RNAcentral.